This is a long non-coding RNA of Gordionus sp. m RMFG-2023, 237 nucleotides long. RefSeq lists it as uncharacterized. The record is from RefSeq and is a predicted model, not a curated record. The transcript is spliced from 3 exons. Lineage: Eukaryota; Metazoa; Nematomorpha; Gordioida; Chordodea; Parachordodidae.
AGCCUCUACUACCAAUCAACAUUCUUUAGAACAAAAUUUAGUAGUUUCCAUAACUCCUGAUCCUAACCAAGCUUCUACUACCAAUCAACAUUCUUUAGAACAAAACUUAGUAGUUUCCAUAACUCCUGAUCCUAACCAAGUAGCCCCUCAAACUUCUGGUUUUGCCAUAGCCUUUCAAACUUUUAUCUCAAAUCAAAAUAAUUCAGGUGCUUAUCAUGUUAUUAAUUCAGAUGUUGG